Molecule: ribosomal RNA, 609 nt
Filed under: Erwinia sp. EECC-480
Lineage: Bacteria; Pseudomonadati; Pseudomonadota; Gammaproteobacteria; Enterobacterales; Erwiniaceae
Description: bacterial SSU rRNA
Rfam family: Bacterial small subunit ribosomal RNA
Source: RNAcentral
GUGGCGGACGGGUGAGUAAUGUCUGGGAAACUGCCCGAUGGAGGGGGAUAACUACUGGAAACGGUAGCUAAUACCGCAUAACGUCUUCGGACCAAAGUGGGGGACCUUCGGGCCUCACACCAUCGGAUGUGCCCAGAUGGGAUUAGCUAGUAGGUGGGGUAACGGCUCACCUAGGCGACGAUCCCUAGCUGGUCUGAGAGGAUGACCAGCCACACUGGAACUGAGACACGGUCCAGACUCCUACGGGAGGCAGCAGUGGGGAAUAUUGCACAAUGGGCGCAAGCCUGAUGCAGCCAUGCCGCGUGUAUGAAGAAGGCCUUCGGGUUGUAAAGUACUUUCAGCGGGGAGGAAGGCGAUGUGGUUAAUAACCGCGUCGAUUGACGUUACCCGCAGAAGAAGCACCGGCUAACUCCGUGCCAGCAGCCGCGGUAAUACGGAGGGUGCAAGCGUUAAUCGGAAUUACUGGGCGUAAAGCGCACGCAGGCGGUCUGUCAAGUCAGAUGUGAAAUCCCCGGGCUUAACCUGGGAACUGCAUUUGAAACUGGCAGGCUUGAGUCUCGUAGAGGGGGGUAGAAUUCCAGGUGUAGCGGUGAAAUGCGUAGAGAUCUG